GGAGUUGUGGCUCAGCGGUAGAGCGCUGUAGAGCUGUCUAGCACAUGCGAGGCCCUGGGUUCGAUCCUCAGCACCACUU
Molecule: transfer RNA, 79 nt
Filed under: Ictidomys tridecemlineatus (thirteen-lined ground squirrel)
Lineage: Eukaryota; Metazoa; Chordata; Mammalia; Rodentia; Sciuridae
Description: Spermophilus tridecemlineatus (thirteen-lined ground squirrel) tRNA
Rfam family: tRNA
About the family: Transfer RNA (tRNA) molecules are approximately 80 nucleotides in length. Their secondary structure includes four short double-helical elements and three loops (D, anti-codon, and T loops). Further hydrogen bonds mediate the characteristic L-shaped molecular structure. tRNAs have two regions of fundamental functional importance: the anti-codon, which is responsible for specific mRNA codon recognition, and the 3' end, to which the tRNAs corresponding amino acid is attached (by aminoacyl-tRNA synthetases). tRNAs cope with the degeneracy of the genetic code in two manners: having more than one tRNA (with a specific anti-codon) for a particular amino acid; and 'wobble' base-pairing, i.e. permitting non-standard base-pairing at the 3rd anti-codon position.
Source: Rfam by way of RNAcentral